RNAcentral lists this ribosomal RNA (918 nucleotides) under uncultured archaeon. RNAcentral describes it as "bacterial SSU rRNA". It matches the Rfam family "Archaeal small subunit ribosomal RNA", at positions 1 to 922 of the family's 1478-position model. The record is from RNAcentral.
UCCGGUUGAUCCUGCCGGCGGUCACUGCUAUCGAGUUUCGACUAAGCCAUGCGAGUCACAGGCCGAAAGGUACUGGCGGACGGCUCAGUAACACGCGGAUAAUCUACCCUCAGGUGGGGUAUACCCUUGGGAAACUGAGGCUAAUCCCCCAUAGGUCCUGUAAACUGGAAUGUUUUAGGACUGAAAGUCACGGCGCCUGAGGAUGAGUCUGCGGCCUAUCAGGUAGUAGGUGGGGUAAAGGCCCACAUAGCCUAUGACGGGUACGGGCCCUGAGAGGGGUAGCCCGGAGAUGGGUUCUGAGACACGAACCCAGGCCCUACGGGGCGCAGCAGGCGCGAAACCUUCGCAAUGCGCGCAAGCGCGACGAGGGGAACUCGAGUGCUAUUAUCCUUUUGGGUGAUAGCUUUUCUCGAUCCUAAAAAGAUCGGGGAAUAAAAGCUGGGUAAGACGGGUGCCAGCCGCCGCGGUAAUACCCGCAGCUCAAGUGGUGGCCACUAUUAUUGAGCCUAAAGCGUCCGUAGCCGGUCUUGUAAAUCUCUGGGUAAAUCCCAUCGCUCAACGGUGGGAAGACUGGAGAGACUGCAAGACUAGGGAUCGGGUGAGGUAAGAGGUACUCCUGGGGUAGGGGUAAAAUCCUGUAAUCCUGGGGGGACGACCGGUGGCGAAGGCGUCUUACUAGAACGACUCCGACGGUGAGGGACGAAGGCUAGGGGAGCAAACCGGACUAGAUACCCGGGUAGUCCUAGCUGUAAACGCUGCCCACUUGGUGUUGCCCUUUCGUAGGGAAGGGGCAGUGCCGGAGCGAAGGUGUUAAGUGGGCCGCUUGGGGAGUAUGGUCGCAAGGCUGAAACUUAAAGGAAUUGGCGGGAGAGCACCGCAACGGGAGGAGCGUGCGGUUUAAUUGGAUUCAACGCCGGG